Molecule: ribosomal RNA, 497 nt
Filed under: uncultured bacterium
Lineage: Bacteria
Description: partial 16S ribosomal RNA
Rfam family: Bacterial small subunit ribosomal RNA
Source: RNAcentral
GAUGAACGCUGGCGGCGUGCCUAAUACAUGCAAGUCGAGCGAACAGAUGAGGAGCUUGCUCCUCUGACGUUAGCGGCGGACGGGUGAGUAACACGUGGAUAACCUACCUAUAAGACUGGGAUAACUUCGGGAAACCGGAGCUAAUACCGGAUAAUAUAUUGAACCGCAUGGUUCAAUAGUGAAAGACGGUUUUGCUGUCACUUAUAGAUGGAUCCGCGCCGCAUUAGCUAGUUGGUAAGGUAACGGCUUACCAAGGCAACGAUGCGUAGCCGACCUGAGAGGGUGAUCGGCCACACUGGAACUGAGACACGGUCCAGACUCCUACGGGAGGCAGCAGUAGGGAAUCUUCCGCAAUGGGCGAAAGCCUGACGGAGCAACGCCGCGUGAGUGAUGAAGGUCUUCGGAUCGUACAACUCUGUUAUUAGGGAAGAACAAAUGUGUAAGUAACUAUGCACGUCUUGACGGUACCUAAUCAGAAAGCCACGGCUAACUACGUG